CGAUCUUGUGGGCGGCCAUGGCGAUCUGUUUGAGCUGCGGGGAAGACGAUACCGUGGUGGAUCCGGACUCAGGCGCCUGUGUCUGUUGCUCCUGCGGCUGCGUAGUCUCCACCGACGAGUUCCGCCACCAGGCCUUCACCUCUGACGGCCAAGCUACUGGCUUCCUCCACAGCAUCACCGAUUUUGACUACCGCCAGCGGAAGCUCCACCGCGCUCGAUCCCAAAUAGAGGAUCUUACCUCUGCCCUCGGCCUCUCCUCCCUUCGAGCGACCGAUGUUUCGGACCUCAUCUCCGAAGCCACUGACGGCUCCUUUGGCGACGGCCAGUGGUUCAGCGACCUCAUCGCUGCCUGCUCCUACAUCGUCGCGCGACGCCACCGCAUCCCUACCUCCCUUACUGAGGCGGCCGACGCUGUAGGCCGUGAUGCCUGUGACGUUGGUCACAUGGUCACCCGUGUCGUGCAGCAUCUUCGCCUUCCCUCGCUCCCGGAGUUCAAUAUUGCUGCUGCCCUCGAUCGCGUGGUUAAUACCUGCCAAAGCUUCAAGGGGCUGGAUCCUGAGAAAUCGAAAGAGUUAAUCGGCCAAGGGCAAUUCCUUCUCAACUGCGCCACCAAAUGGUUCCUCACAACUGGGCGCCAGCCGCUUCCGCUGGUUGCUGCGGUCCUCGCCUUUGUGGCGGAUGCUAACGGGGUUAAAGCUUCCGUGGAGGAGAUUGCGGAGGGGAUUCCUGCUGGGGUAACCACAAGCAAGCUCCGGCUCAAGGAGCUAAUGGAGACCCUCAUUAGGGUUGCAAGAUCCUUGCUUCCAUGGGGGAAGGACGUCACACUCCAAAACCUAACGCUAAAUGCCCCUUUGCUGAUUCGCUUGAUGGAGAGGAAAUCAAAAUCGGACCAUUCUGUGGAUAUUGGCUUUGGUUUCGAUGCCUUUUCCGGUGCUUUGAGAAAGGACAACGAAGACGAAUCUAAGUACUUCAAGAUCGGUGAAGAACAAGAUUGUACUGCAAACUGUGACAAUUUUGCGUAUGCUAAACUGUCAGGGGAGUGCAUAUCAAUUGCCUACGAUAAAGUCUUGGAAAGAAUUGAUCACCUUAAAGCAAUUGGAGGGUUUGAUAAAGACCGAUCAAAAAGGUCGAGGAGAGAGAUAUUGGAGACCAGGGCACUUCAAGAUGCUUGGGAGGGGAGGUGGGACAGAGAAAAUAAAUUGACGCUGGAGCAGGUCUUGGAACGUGAUGUGGGCUUUUAUGCUCUGCCCCCGUCUUUUGUUGCUGGUGUGCAAUCCAGGAGAUUCAGGAGAGCUAAGAUAGAAGCUGCUAAACAACGGAUUCAAAAGAUUAUGAAAACAUUUGGAACCAAGCAAAAUUCCGCUGGAGGCGUCAAGGUGGAGGAUUGUGUUGUGGAAGAGAGGGUGGGCAGGAAGAGGAGAAGAACAAAGAAGCAAUGUGAGGAUAAGCUUGAUUGGGAAGACUGCAUAAUUGAGCUUUUGCUGCUUCAUCGAGUGGAGGAGGAUGAAAUAGAGCAAGAUGCCCAGACUUGUUUGUCAAAGCUACAACCGAAGAAGUUGAAAGUUAUGGAUUCUGUCCCAUCUUCAAAGGCCUAACCUGUUGCCAAGACUGUCAACAAAGAGUGCAGCAGUAGGGAGGAAGAUGAUGAUGAUAGCUCUGAAGAAAGUUCAGACGAUGAACAUUCAAAAUGGCAACAAGAUAAGAAGACCAAAUCUGUUGCUAAGACUGUCAAAAAAGAGAACAGCAGUAGUGAGGAAGAUGAGGAUGAUAGCUCUGAAGAAAAUUCAGAUGAUGAACCUUCUGAACAGCAACAAGCUAUAAGAGGAUUCUGUCCCAUCUUCAAAAGCCAAACCUGUUGCUAAGACUGUAGCAGUAAGGAAGAUGAUGAGGAUGAUAGCUCUGAAGAAAGUACAUAUGAUGAACCUUCAAAACAGCAACAAGCUAAGAAGUUAUCCAAAUUUUCACACAUAUGUGAACCUUCAAAACAGCAACAAGCUAAGAAGGUGACUCGAGCAUCUACAAAGAGCAAUCGCUCUGAUUCAUUUGAGGAAUUUUUUGAUGAGGAAAGUGAAGAUGAGAACUUGAGAAGCCACUUAAGACUCCAAAGAAGGUAGUUUUGAGAAGUA
Molecule: RNA transcript, 2126 nt
Organism: Zingiber officinale
Lineage: Eukaryota; Viridiplantae; Streptophyta; Magnoliopsida; Zingiberales; Zingiberaceae
Gene name: plant-specific TFIIB-related protein PTF2-like
Exons: 7
Source: RefSeq, a predicted model, not a curated record